Long non-coding RNA from Lemur catta (Ring-tailed lemur), 110 nucleotides. RefSeq lists it as uncharacterized. The record is from RefSeq and is a predicted model, not a curated record. The transcript is spliced from 3 exons. Lineage: Eukaryota; Metazoa; Chordata; Mammalia; Primates; Lemuridae.
ACUCCUUCCUGGUUUGGGUGGAAGCCAUCACCUGGAAUCCUGCAUGGGAAAGGACCUCAGCCAUGGGACCCCAGCACCCUCCAGCUCUAAACCCAGUCAAUGGGAUGCGG